GAAAUUUGGAGCUUUAAACCUAACCAUUGCCUGCUGUUCUAAGUGGAAAGGGGAGUAGCUGCUGGCUGACCCUUGUCUUAAAAAAAAAAGAUAAAUGAGGGAAGCUUUGUAUAGCAAAGAGGGAAGCUUGGACUUUUGGUAUGGAGGAGGGGAAAGAGAGGAGAACUCCCUUCUCAAAGUGGAGUUCAGGGGAGACAGCAAAUGUAAGAAUUUGGCUCAGAGAGAGGAGAAGGGGUUUGAAGAUUUUCCCCCUUCUGCCUUCCCUCCUUAGCUAAAGCUGUUCUCCCCAAUUUGCUCUUGUCCCUCUUGAUCCCCAUCCACUACUCGAGACCAAAACAUCUCCCCUUGAUCCGUUCACUCACACUCAGCUUGGGGAACAGAUACCUUUUAAUGUUAACUCAUUAAGGUUAUACAAAAGGAAUAAUGGGCAGGGAAGAAUGGGAAAAGGAAUGUGGGAAAAGGGGGUCCCUGUCUCUAAACCCUUUCCCCUCCCUCCUUGGGUUUGGGGGGGUGGGAACUCAGGUAUUGGCAGCCUGAUCCCCCUGAGAGAAAGUCAGGUUGACUCACCCCUGGGCAACAGGAGCUGAGGUAAAGUCUGCUCAGGUUUCUCUUCAGAAGUCUCUUCAAUUGGGAAGUGUUGGGGGGAAAGAUUUACAGUCACCAGCAGGAAAGGUGGGUAACCCUCAGGAGAAAGUCUUUAUCUACCUCUCCCGACUGAGAGCCUCACUGCUCUCUCCUGUAGCCAGAGUCUUCUCUCCUCAGGAUUCCCCUCUUGGGGCCCCUCCCCCAUCAAGGUGAUCAAUUUCACAUACUCUUCAGUAACACCCUCUAUCCAAUUCUUCUUUAGGGAAUAGGUAAAGUAAGAGUACAACUGAGUUAGAUAACAUGGGUGAAGUUCUCACUCCAUCCUACUCUCACCCCCUCCACAGGAAAACCUGAAGUGAGAAAGUCUUCAAAGUAAAUUUUACCCACAACCCCAUUCUUUCACUCAGAUGGUUAUUAGUUCUGAAUUAUAUGAGCAAUUCUUAAAGGAAGUGUUCAAACAUACAGACUCCAGCUUGGGACCUUGUCCUGGCUCCAACCUCUGCUGCUCUAGGUCCAUCCUUCAAGUCACAAUCUUUGGUCCAAUUCUUGCUUUUCCACAUCACAUUUGCUUGGCUUUGUCUACUCUCCAACUCCUCUUAAGAUAAGGAAACUGAGGAAGACAUUCAACCAGAAAAUAUGUGAGAUCGAGUUGAAGCUCAGACCCUUUUGACUCCAGUUGCAGCAUUCUAUCCUCUGGGCCUUCUAGCUGCUUUUGAAUAGUCAU
RNAcentral lists this long non-coding RNA (1309 nucleotides) under Monodelphis domestica (gray short-tailed opossum). Its description in RNAcentral is "lncRNA (ENSMODG00000039071.1)". The record is from RNAcentral. Lineage: Eukaryota; Metazoa; Chordata; Mammalia; Didelphimorphia; Didelphidae.